This 433-nucleotide ribosomal RNA is filed under the name uncultured bacterium. RNAcentral's name for it is "partial 16S ribosomal RNA". It matches the Rfam family "Bacterial small subunit ribosomal RNA", at positions 29 to 507 of the family's 1533-position model. The record is from RNAcentral.
AGCGAACGCUGGCGGCAGGCCUAACACAUGCAAGUCGAACGAACUCUUCGGAGUUAGUGGCGGACGGGUGAGUAACACGUGGGAAUGUGCCUUUUGGUUCGGAAUAACUCAGGGAAACUUGUGCUAAUACCGAAUGUGCCCUUCGGGGGAAAGAUUUAUCGCCAUUAGAGCGGCCCGCGUCUGAUUAGCUAGUUGGUGAGGUAACGGCUCACCAAGGCGACGAUCAGUAGCUGGUCUGAGAGGAUGACCAGCCACACUGGGACUGAGACACGGCCCAGACUCCUACGGGAGGCAGCAGUGGGGAAUCUUGCGAAAUGGGCGAAAGCCUGACGCAGCCAUGCCGCGUGAAUGAUGAAGGUCUUAGGAUUGUAAAAUUCUUUCACCGGGGACGAUAAUGACGGUACCCGGAGAAGAAGCCCCGGCUAACUUCGUG